This 3518-nucleotide long non-coding RNA is filed under the name Salmo salar (Atlantic salmon). Its description in RNAcentral is "lncRNA (ENSSSAG00000101464.1)". The record is from RNAcentral. Lineage: Eukaryota; Metazoa; Chordata; Actinopteri; Salmoniformes; Salmonidae.
GCCUCCCAGAACACAUCAGGACAGAGAGAGGGGUUGGAGGGGCCUCCCAGAACACAUCAUGACAGGCAGAGGGGUACGGAGGGGCCUACCAGAACACAUCAGGACAGAGAGAGGGGUUGGAGGGGCCUCCCAGAACCAUCAUGACAGGCAGAGGGGUUGGAGGGCCUCCCAGAUGAUGGGGAGGUAUAUUUUCUCAAAAUACUUAUUCACUUUAAACAAAUUUUACAUAAUUACAGUAGUCUGAAAAUAUUCUAAGAUCUUUGUGUGGGUUGUCUAUAAUAAUUCAUAAUCAUUAAAAAAAAAAUACAUUUCCCAGAAUGCAUCAAACACUCCAGAAUUGGAAUGGUGCCUCCCAUCUGAUGUCUACCGCAGGCAGCUCCACGGCCGGGCCUGGCCCAAUGCCCAUCAGUGAUGUGAUUUUCUGUGUGUCGGGGCGUUUCCUGAUCUCCUCACAGUGCAGGCUGUGUUUACAGUUGGACGAUGAUGUGGUCCACCCCUUCCAGGUGUCGCUCCUCACUCCCUCUAGUCAUCUCUAUGGUCUUCAUUCCCUCUAGUCCAUCUCUAUGGUCCUCACUCCCUCUAGUCCAUCUCUAUGGUAGAGGUCCUCACUCCCUCUAGUCCAUCUCUAUGGUCCUCACUCCCUCUAGUCCAUCUCUAUGGUCCUCACUCCCUCUAGUCCAUCUCUAUGGUCCUCACUCCCUCUAGUCCAUCUCUAUGCUACAGGUCUUCACGUGUCCACUCUUUAGGGUUUGGCCAAAGUCAGGCAACAAACAUAUGAUCAUCCAAUCCAGUAUCAGAUGCUGUUUUUAUUCAAAUCAACACUAUGAUGCUGACCAACCAGCUGUCGUGACUUUACUUUCAUUAACCUGAUGACUGUUAAUUAUCGAAUCCAACUAUGUUUAAUCGUUACCCGAUUAAAUUAAUCAUGUAACAAUUAACUCAUUAGGAUUUGGGGCACCACGAGAGCGGUUCUUUAAAGAGUGACCAUCUCCCGAAUUAAACUCUAAAGGUCUUAACAUCUUAACAGUCAACGUAUUAAUCAUAACCUCGUAUCAUAUCAUUCUGAACAGUCGUAACCUCCUUGCAUCUGCAAAAACCCCAGCCUUACUUAUGAUUCAGUACUGCACAAAUUGGUUUAAUUAUUUAUUUACUAGCUAACUAAAUGGUAACACAGGAUAAACAUAGACACAUUAGAAACAGAUGGUGGGGGGUGAAAGAGAGAAAGGUACAGAGACAUAAGACUUGGGUACAUUUAGAAACUAAUCUCACAGUAAUCAGAUACUUUGCACACGAACCGCCGCCCGUUUGGAGUAAGAAAUAAUUUAUGUAUUUACGUGUAAAUGUCUUGAUUCAUCUUGUAGUCCUGAACAGAACUACAGAGUUGAUUUCCCUUCCAUUCGCUCCUGAAGAUGCCUCUUUGAAGACAUGCUAGCCAGCCGUGUCAAUGGUUUUCAUUGGGUGAUGAGAGUAGCGUACUACAUUGAUUUGCGAAGAGUAGUAGAAUGAUCCCACUUAAGUUCAACUUUCUAGUUACUUUACUUAGGACAGCUAAUCAGCAGUCCCAGUGAUUGUCUGGGAGGUGACUUCAUCGUCUCUACCUCGUGUUGAGAUUUCAGAGUUCAAACCACUUUGGACGUGAGCUGCAGCUACACUCCCCUCUGGUCUAAAUGUUGAUUUCUUUACCAAUCCUUUUAUACAUGCUGGUCCAAAGGGGCGGUUCCGUCAGGUUGACAUGCUCUCUGACCUCACUCUGGGGCGUGGCUACUUAUUGUGCAAAGUUUUAUAGGAGACAAAUUAUCACUUAUGGCUCCUAAAAUCACAUCCCUAUCUUAACAAAAUUACUUUCAUAAUUGUUCAUAUUUCAUACACAAUGUAAAGGAUGGAGAAUUCAUACAUGUAGUGUACAUGCUUCAAGUUACAGUUUUUCCUCUAUAACAUUUUUAAUGGCAUCACAAAAUAACAAACAAUAUGACAUUAGUUUUCUACACCUCAAACCCUGCCCUGUUCCCUUUCUACACCUCAAACCCCGAAAACAGCCUUUUCUUCCUAAAUAAUAACCCUAACCCUACAUACUAACCCUAACCCUACAUACUAACCCUAACCCUACAUACUUAUGGCCAUACCAGCCUGAAUACGACUGAUCUCAUCGCGGGGGCCGGUCGUGUAUAGCUGUUGUUCUGCCCCCUGAACAAGGCAGUUAACCCACUGUUCCCCAGUAGGCCGUCAUUGUAAAUAAGAAUUUGUUCUUAACCGACUUGCCUCGUUAAAUAAAGGUUAAAAAAAACAAAUAAAAAUACUAACCCUACAUAAUGUACAUCCAACCCAUUACCCACGUUCACCCAAACAUUUAAUAAUCCACCCUAACCACCACCCACUCUUCCACGUCCCCUUCCACCCACCCCUCCACGUCCCCUUCCACCCACCCCUCCACGUCCCCUUCCACCCACCCCUCCACGUCCCCUUCCACCCAGUCCCUUUUCCUCCUCCUCCCCCUCCUCCCCAGACCCUGAGCCCAUUCCACUGUGCACAGAUGUCAGUAAAACAUCUAGUUUUGGUUUCUAUUUGAUUGAGUUGUCAAGUAACAUGAAUUCAAAGUGAAAUAAACAAAAAUGUUACAAGUAACAGAGUUGGCUGAAAAAAAAUUUUGAAAAAAAAAGGCCAAAAUCCCAGAAUUUCCUUUAUGAUGGAUUACAUUUUGCAAAUCAAAUCCAAUCCAAUAUUUUUGUUGAAAUGACGUUGGAAACUUUGAUUCAACCAGUUUGUGUCCUGUGGGUUCUUCCUCUCCCAGAUCCUCAGAGCCCAUGUUACAGACUCUCACUGGAUUCCUCUCACAGCUGCUUGCUGAGUUUGCGUGCCUGCCUCUCCUUGGCGUCGAAGGCGAACUUGGUGUCCUGUAGUUGUUCUAUGAUUUCCUUGGCUUCCUUCAUAUCCGCACCCAGCUGGUUGUAUUUCUCCAGAAGCUCCUGGUUCUCUUUGUGCAGGUCCACCACCAGCUGGCUAAGCUCCUCGCUCUGCUUCCCACAGUGGAGCUUCAGAGCCUCCAUCUCCGUCAGGGUCAACUCCAUACGUUUCACCAGACCCUCCAGCUUGUCCUUCGACGACAUCUUGUUCUUUAGUCAGGUUGAGCUUCUUUUUUUUUUAUGGUCGAGCUUUACUCGUCGACUACACUCGUCUUUAGCUAGGUCGACUUGAGCUUCUUGUUUUGCUUCUUGUACUCAAGUGUGUAGAUUGAGAUCUAGUACAAGUGGUUUGGAUUGUCUGACGGAUAAGAUGUCUCCCAGAUGGUGUGUUAUGUCACUCGUCUCGUUUCCCCUUUUCUGGUCAGAGGAACGUCUGUGUUGCUUAGUUACCUGUUAGUUGUCCUGUUCCGUGUGACUAUUUAAAAACCUAAUACCCUAGUCCCUGCAUGUCUCACAUGGGCCGCUCCCUCUUCAUCCCUCCGUCUUUUAAUCCCGUUAGUGGAGAGCUAUCCUGGGCCACGGCCCGCGUAGGGUUACACGUAGACAGACAUGACAGUG